AAACUUAAAUUCGAACAGAUUAUGCAGUGUACAUUUUGAAAAUACUAUGUUUUGAAAUAAAACUCGGAACAGGUUAUGUAAAAAUGCAGUACCACGUUUAUUUCCUUCAAUAGAAGAGAGUCCAAACCAACAUUCAAAUGUUGAUCAAGAUGAUGAAAACAGUUUUGAUCCAGUAAAUGAGGAAGAUGAGGAACAACGGGAAGAAUUAGCUACCGUACUGCUAGGUGGAGAGGACGACAGCGAAGUUGUUCUACAAAAAAAUCAACAAACUCAAACUUUGGAAAGUGUAUCGACCUAUAGCCCUAGAAAAAACAAGCUAAGAAAGACUAUAAAGGAAUUGCAAAACAAGAAUUUUCGAUUAAAAAAAAAUUGCAAAAACUACAAGGUUCUGGUCGGAGAUAUUCAAACGAAUACAAAAACUUUUGUUUACAAUUAUAUUUUAACGGUCCAAAACUGUAUAGGAAAAAAUUAGUUAAAGAAUUUUGCUUGCCCAGUGUUACAACAUUACACAAAUUUGUCACACAUAUAUCUGUCAAACCUGGAAUAAAUGAUUUCAUUUU
Diabrotica virgifera virgifera (western corn rootworm) is the source of this 560-nucleotide long non-coding RNA. RefSeq lists it as uncharacterized. NCBI's taxonomy places the organism in Eukaryota, Metazoa, Arthropoda, Insecta, Coleoptera, Chrysomelidae. The record is from RefSeq and is a predicted model, not a curated record. The transcript has 2 exons.